RNAcentral lists this ribosomal RNA (254 nucleotides) under uncultured bacterium. Its description in RNAcentral is "partial 16S ribosomal RNA". It matches the Rfam family "Bacterial small subunit ribosomal RNA", at positions 524 to 776 of the family's 1533-position model. The record is from RNAcentral.
UACGGGGGGGGCAAGCGUUGUUCGGAAUUACUGGGCGUAAAGGGCUCGUAGGCGGCUUGGCAAGUCGGGUGUGAAACCUCCAGGCUCAACCUGGAGACGCCACUCGAUACUGCUAUGGCUAGAGUCCGGUAGGGGACCACGGAAUUCCUGGUGUAGCGGUGAAAUGCGCAGAUAUCAGGAGGAACACCGGUGGCGAAGGCGGCCAUCUGAACGGUAACUGACGCUGAGACGCGAAAGCGUGGGGAGCAAACAGG